Molecule: ribosomal RNA, 453 nt
Filed under: uncultured bacterium
Lineage: Bacteria
Description: bacterial SSU rRNA
Rfam family: Bacterial small subunit ribosomal RNA
Source: RNAcentral
UGCCUAACACAUGCAAGUCGAACGGAAGUAGAAAUACUUAGUGGCGAACGGGUGAGUAACACGUGAGCAACCUGCCGUAUACACAGGGAGUAACAGUUGGAAACGACUGCUAAUACCGGAUAAGACCACACUAUGGCAUCAUAGAGGGGGUCAAAGCGAAUAAAGCGGUAUAAGAUGGGCUCGCGUCCAAUUAGCUAGUUGGUGAGGUAACGGCCCACCAAGGCGACGAUUGGUAGCCGACUUGAGAGAGUGAUCGGCCACACUGGAACUGAGACACGGUCCAGACUCCUACGGGAGGCAGCAGUGGGGAAUAUUGGGCAAUGGAGGAAACUCUUACCCAGCAAAUGCCGCGUGAGUGAUGAAGGUCUUUGGAUUGUAAAGCUCUUUGAUUGGGGACGAAUAAAUGACGGUACCCAAAGAACAAGCCCCGGCUAACUAUGUGCCAGCAGCUGC